RNAcentral lists this non-coding RNA (23 nucleotides) under Cricetulus griseus (Chinese hamster). The record is from RNAcentral. Lineage: Eukaryota; Metazoa; Chordata; Mammalia; Rodentia; Cricetidae.
ACUGACUCAGACUGGAUGGUAAG